This 466-nucleotide ribosomal RNA is filed under the name uncultured bacterium. Its description in RNAcentral is "partial 16S ribosomal RNA". It matches the Rfam family "Bacterial small subunit ribosomal RNA", at positions 28 to 507 of the family's 1533-position model. The record is from RNAcentral.
GAUGAACGCUGGCGGCGUGCUUAACACAUGCAAGUCGAACGAUGAAGCCCAGCUUGCUGGGUGGAUUAGUGGCGAACGGGUGAGUAACACGUGAGUAACCUGCCCUUAACUCUGGGAUAAGCCUGGGAAACUGGGUCUAAUACCGGAUAGGAGCGUCCACCGCAUGGUGGGUGUUGGAAAGAUUUAUCGGUUUUGGAUGGACUCGCGGCCUAUCAGCUUGUUGGUGAGGUAAUGGCUCACCAAGGCGACGACGGGUAGCCGGCCUGAGAGGGUGACCGGCCACACUGGGACUGAAACACGGCCCAGACUCCUACGGGAGGCAGCAGUGGGGAAUAUUGCACAAUGGGCGCAAGCCUGAUGCAGCGACGCCGCGUGAGGGAUGACGGCCUUCGGGUUGUAAACCUCUUUCAGCAGGGAAGAAGCGAAAGUGACGGUACCUGCAGAAGAAGCACCGGCUAACUACGUG